GGACGAGCGGUGGCAGGAUCUUUGACCUGCGGCAGCUAGCGGCAACUCCCACGGCCACGGAUUUGGACUCCCCCGGAACCAUUGAGGAGCUUGGCAAAUCUAUGAGGGCACCAACGAUGCUGCCGCAAACGGUGAUGCAACGGCGGAAGACGGGGCGUGCAGCCAUGUCGGGUCAAUGGAGGCUGAUGCAUCCCUGGCGGGCAUCAUGCAGGCGAUAGCUGCUGCAGGCGAUGGAGAUGGUGACGGGCAGGCUGAUUGACUCAGCACAGUGCACUGAAAUAAGACUGAAGCAACUUGGGAUUGGACUAAGAGACAAGGCCUUACGAGCAGAUGGAAGAGCUCCAGGAAAGACAGCAUCCGUUGCUUGCAGGCUUGCUAGGAAGGCAAGAGGUAAGAUCAUGUACAGUUGCAGGGUUUAUCUAGACGGCAGGGCAAGCACAAAACAUAUGAGUGGGUGGCCAGUUCAGCGGGGCAUUGUGUUCCGCAUGGAUGCCAGAGGUUAAGAGAGCUGAUUGUUGAGGAAGUUGGAGCAAGAUACAGGACGCCGUGAUCCAAGUGAUCUCAGGGAUGAAUGUGCCUCGUGGCGAUCGAGGCCAGAGGAACGCAAAGCAGCUAUCCUAGAUGAUAUUCUGCCAGGUGUGGAGGCACUGACAAAAUAACUGCUGCAGAAACUUGUGGCAUGUUUAUACCCACAAGCUCGUCGAUCUACAGCUGAUGGAGAUACAUGAGAUGUUUCGUGCCGCAUCGGGAUCAUCAGGCGAGGGCUAAGGAAUGCUGCGGGUAGCAGCCCAGGAUGUUAGGCUAAUUUGCAGUCAGAGAAGGAGAAGUAGCCCAUGGGGCCAGGAUGAUAAUUGGUCUUACAUUUGGGGAAAUGCUGAUUUCUCUUCUCAAAAAAGCUUACAUGGCUAUGAUUGGAUUUUCCGCCACUCCAAAAAAAUUCUCCAGAUUAUGGAAAUCCUCAUGUCAGGCCAAACACAAAUUCUUCUUCUGGACUAAAUACAAGAAAUUUACUAAGGAGAAAGAAUUUUCAACUACAAUCCUAUCAAUGUGUUGUAGCAAACUGCACUGAUGAAGAAACACUAGUACACUUGUUCUGGGCAUGUCCUUUGGCUGAACAGUGCUGGAACUUUAUAUGCCCACAGAGAAAUAGAAGACUGUCAAUUCUAGAAGCUUUUGAAGAUAUGAGGUCUAAAUUAAAGUUGCCUUUUGCAAUGGAUAUUCUGAUUAUGGCAGCUUGGGGCAUCUGGAUCGUCAGAAAUAACAAGAUCUUCAAAAAUCAAAAUGCUGAGCGUUCAGUAGUUAGAAAGCAAUUUAUUCUCAAGAGCUAAGAUUGUUAGUACACAGAAUGAAGAAAAAGCAUGCAAAUACUUUCAAAGAGUGGCUUCAAUCCCAAGUUUAGUUUAGUGUAGACUUUGUUUUGUUUUUUCUAAGAGUUACUCACUCUCCUUGUAAAUCUUUCUAUCCAUACUCUUAAACAUAAUAAAAAAUUGCAGUGGGUUUACCCCACUGUUUUACCUCAAAAAAAAGGAGGCAGAAGAAGAUGUUUGCAUGGGUGGUGAAGAUGACGCAGAUGAAGUAAUCCUAGGAGAAGAUUAUUACAACUCCAUCCUUACUAGGAUGUUCAAAGAACCAUCGUCUGCGGCAAAUGUUGGUGGGCAUGUUGGAAGUGAUGGACAUGGAGAGGCAAUGGCUACUAAUGCAAACACAGUGUUUCUAGCUAUGAUGCAACGGACUGAGAUGAAGGGGACUGCUGCAGGCCUAUCAUCAGAUUAAAUUUUAGCAAGACAAG
Lolium rigidum is the source of this 1789-nucleotide long non-coding RNA. RefSeq lists it as uncharacterized. The transcript is spliced from 6 exons. The record is from RefSeq and is a predicted model, not a curated record. Lineage: Eukaryota; Viridiplantae; Streptophyta; Magnoliopsida; Poales; Poaceae.